CGUAUCCUACGGGACGCAGCAGUGAGGAAUAUUGGUCAAUGGGAGAGAUCCUGAACCAGCCAUGCCGCGUGAGGGAAGACGGCCCUAUGGGUUGUAAACCUCUUUUGUCGGAGAACAAAACCCGGGACGUGUCCCGGACUGCGUGUAUCCGAAGAAAAAGCAUCGGCUAACUCCGUGCCAGCAGCCGCGGUAAUACGGAGGAUGCGAGCGUUAUCCGGAUUUAUUGGGUUUAAAGGGAGCGUAGGCCGGUCUUUAAGCGUGCCGUGAAAUUUUGUGGCUCAACCAUGAGUGUGCGGCGCGAACUG
RNAcentral lists this ribosomal RNA (305 nucleotides) under uncultured bacterium. RNAcentral describes it as "bacterial SSU rRNA". It matches the Rfam family "Bacterial small subunit ribosomal RNA", at positions 333 to 635 of the family's 1533-position model. The record is from RNAcentral.